CCUACGGGUGGCAGCAGUGGGGAAUAUUGGACAAUGGGGGGAACCCUGAUCCAGCCAUGCCGCGUGUGUGAAGAAGGCCCUCGGGUUGUAAAGCACUUUCAGUGAGGAAGAACGCCUGGUGGUUAAUACCCAUCAGGAAAGACAUCACUCACAGAAGAAGCACCGGCUAACUCCGUGCCAGCAGCCGCGGUAAUACGGAGGGUGCGAGCGUUAAUCGGAAUUACUGGGCGUAAAGCGCGCGUAGGUGGCUUGAUAAGCCGGUUGUGAAAGCCCCGGGCUCAACCUGGGAACGGCAUCCGGAACUGUCAAGCUAGAGUGCAGGAGGAGAAGGUAGAAUUCCCGGUGGAGCGGUGAAAUGCGGAGAGAGCCGGAGGAAUACCAGUGGCGAAGGCGGGCUUCUGGACUGACACUGCCACUGGGGUGCGAAAGCGUGGGUAGCAAACAGGGUUAGAUAACCCAGUAGUC
Molecule: ribosomal RNA, 465 nt
Filed under: Vreelandella stevensii
Lineage: Bacteria; Pseudomonadati; Pseudomonadota; Gammaproteobacteria; Oceanospirillales; Halomonadaceae
Description: partial 16S ribosomal RNA
Rfam family: Bacterial small subunit ribosomal RNA
Source: RNAcentral